AGGGAAUCUUCGGCAAUGGGGGCAACCCUGACCGAGCAACGCCGCGUGAGUGAAGAAGGCCUUCGGGUUGUAAAGUACUUUCAGCGGGGAGGAAGGGAGUAAAGUUAAUACCUUUGCUCAUUGACGUUACCCGCAGAAGAAGCACCGGCUAACUCCGUGCCAGCAGCCGCGGUAAUACGGAGGGUGCAAGCGUUAAUCGGAAUUACUGGGCGUAAAGCGCACGCAGGCGGUUUGUUAAGUCAGAUGUGAAAUCCCCGGGCUCAACCUGGGAACUGCAUUUGAUACUGGCAAGCUUGAGUCUCGUAGAGGGGGGUAGAAUUCCAGGUGUAGCGGUGAAAUGCGUAGAGAUCUGGAGGAAUACCGGUGGCGAAGGCGGCCCCCUGGACGAAGACUGACGCUCAGGUGCGAAAGCGUGGGGAGCAAAC
Molecule: ribosomal RNA, 425 nt
Filed under: uncultured bacterium
Lineage: Bacteria
Description: bacterial SSU rRNA
Rfam family: Bacterial small subunit ribosomal RNA
Source: RNAcentral